GAAUCCCGUCUUUGACAUGGACUACCUGCACGUCAUGGUGCGCUCUCAAAGAGUCGAGUUGCUUGGGAAUGCAGCUCAAAAUGGGUGGUAAAUGCCAUCUAAAGCUAAAUAUUGGCGAGAGACCGAUAGCGAACAAGUACCGUGAGGGAAAGAUGAAAAGAACUUUGGAAAGAGAGUUAAACAGUACGUGAAAUUGCUGAAAGGGAAACGCUUGAAGUCAGUCACGUUGGCUAGGAAUCAGCCUUGCUCUUGCAUGGUGUACUUUUCUGGUUGACGGGUCCGCAUCAAUUUUGACCAUUGGAAAAAGUCUUUGGGAAUGUGGCAUCUUAGGAUGUGUUAUAGCCCAGUGUCGCAUACAGUGGUUGGGAUUGAGGAAUUCAGCACGCCGCAAGGCCGGGUUUUUUGACCACGUUCGUGCUUAGGAUGCUGGCAUAAUGGCUUUAAUCGACCCGUCUUGAAACACGGACCAAGGAGUCUAACAUGCCUGCGAGUGUUUGGGUGGAAAACCCAUGCGCGAAAUGAAAGUGAAAGUUGAGAUCCCCUUCAAACAGGGAGCAUUGACGCCCGGACCAGAGCUUUUGUGACGGAUCCGCGGUAGAGCGUAUAUGUUGGGACCCGAAAGAUGGUGAACUAUGCCUGAAUAGGGUGAAGCCAGAGGAAACUCUGGUGGAGGCUCGUAGCGAUUCUGACGUGCAAAUCGAUCGUCAAAUUUGGGUAUAGGGGCGAAAGACUAAUCGAACCAUCUAGUAGCUGGUUCCUGCC
Molecule: ribosomal RNA, 762 nt
Filed under: uncultured Inocybe
Lineage: Eukaryota; Fungi; Basidiomycota; Agaricomycetes; Agaricales; Cortinariaceae
Description: partial 28S ribosomal RNA
Rfam family: Eukaryotic large subunit ribosomal RNA
Source: RNAcentral